CAUCUCUCUUUCAAGGAGG
This 19-nucleotide small nuclear RNA is filed under the name Arabidopsis thaliana (thale cress). Its description in RNAcentral is "snRNA_08903". Lineage: Eukaryota; Viridiplantae; Streptophyta; Magnoliopsida; Brassicales; Brassicaceae. The record is from RNAcentral.